This 484-nucleotide ribosomal RNA is filed under the name uncultured bacterium. Its description in RNAcentral is "partial 16S ribosomal RNA". It matches the Rfam family "Bacterial small subunit ribosomal RNA", at positions 30 to 507 of the family's 1533-position model. The record is from RNAcentral.
AUUGAACGCUGGCGGCAGGCCUAACACAUGCAAGUCGAGCGGAUGAAGGGAGCUUGCUCCUGGAUUCAGCGGCGGACGGGUGAGUAAUGCCUAGGAAUCUGCCUGGUAGUGGGGGAUAACGUCCGGAAACGGGCGCUAAAACCGCAUACGUCCUGAGGGAGAAAGUGGGGGAUCUUCGGACCUCACGCUAUCAGAUGAGCCUAGGUCGGAUUAGCUAGUUGGUGGGGUAAAGGCCUACCAAGGCGACGAUCCGUAACUGGUCUGAGAGGAUGAUCAGUCACACUGGAACUGAGACACGGUCCAGACUCCUACGGGAGGCAGCAGUGGGGAAUAUUGGACAAAGGGCGAAAGCCUGAUCCAGCCAUGCCGCGUGUGUGAAGAAGGUCUUCGGAUUGUAAAGCACUUUAAGUUGGGAGGAAGGGCAGUAAGUUAAUACCUUGCUGUUUUGACGUCACCAACAGAAUAAGCACCGGCUAACUUCGUG